Molecule: ribosomal RNA, 468 nt
Filed under: uncultured bacterium
Lineage: Bacteria
Description: partial 16S ribosomal RNA
Rfam family: Bacterial small subunit ribosomal RNA
Source: RNAcentral
GACGAACGCUGGCGGCGUGCUUAACACAUGCAAGUCGAACGGAAAGGCCCUGCUUUUGUGGGGUGCUCGAGUGGCGAACGGGUGAGUAACACGUGAGUAACCUGCCCUUGACUUUGGGACAACUUCAGGAAACUGGGGCUAAUACCGGAUAGGAGCUCCUGCUGCAUGGUGGGGGUUGGAAAGUUUCGGCGGUUGGGGAUGGACUCGCGGCUUAUCAGCUUGUUGGUGGGGUAGUGGCUUACCAAGGCUUUGACGGGUAGCCGGCCUGAGAGGGUGACCGGCCACAUUGGGACUGAGAUACGGCCCAGACUCCUACGGGAGGCAGCAGUGGGGAAUAUUGCACAAUGGGCGGAAGCCUGAUGCAGCAACGCCGCGUGCGGGAUGACGGCCUUCGGGUUGUAAACCGCUUUCGCCUGUGACGAAGCGUGAGUGACAGUAAUGGGUAAAGAAGCACCGGCUAACUACGUG